CCUACGGGGAGCAGCAGUGAGGAAUAUUGGUCAAUGGACGAGAGUCUGAACCAGCCAAGUAGCGUGAAGGAUGACUGCCCUAUGGGUUGUAAACUUCUUUUAUAUGGGAAUAAAACGUUCCACGUGUGGGAUUUUGUAUGUACCAUAUGAAUAAGGAUCGGCUAACUCCGUGCCAGCAGCCGCGGUAAUACGGAGGAUCCGAGCGUUAUCCGGAUUUAUUGGGUUGAAAGGGAGCGUAGGUGGAUUGUUAAGUCAGUUGUGAAAGUUUGCGGCUCAACCGUAAAAUUGCAGUUGAAACUGGCAGUCUUGAGUACAGUAGAGGUGGGCGGAAUUCGUGGUGUAGCGGUGAAAUGCUUAGAUAUCACGAAGAACUCCGAUUGCGAAGGCAGUUCACUGGACUGCAACUGACACUGAGGCUCGAAAGUGUGGGUAUCAAACAGGAUUAGAUACCCUUGUAGUC
Molecule: ribosomal RNA, 460 nt
Filed under: uncultured bacterium
Lineage: Bacteria
Description: partial 16S ribosomal RNA
Rfam family: Bacterial small subunit ribosomal RNA
Source: RNAcentral